GCACAAGCGGUGGAUGAUGUGGUUUAAUUCGAUGCAACGCGAAAACCUUACCCACCUUUGACAUGUACGGAAUCCUUUAGAGAUAGAGGAGUGCUCGAAAGAGAGCCGUAACACAGGCGCUGCAUGGCUGUCGUCAGCUCGUGUCGUGAGAUGUUGGGUUAAGUCCCGCAACGAGCGCAACCCUUGUCAUUAGUUGCUACAUUCAGUUGGGCACUCUAAUGAGACUGCCGGUGACAAACCGGAGGAAGGUGGGGAUGACGUCAAGUCCUCAUGGCCCUUAUAGGUGGGGCUACACACGUCAUACAAUGGAUGGUACAAAGGGUCGCCAACCCGCGAGGGGGAGCCAAUCCCAUAAAGCCAUUCGUAGUCCGGAUCGCAGUCUGCAACUCGACUGCGUGAAGUCGGAAUCGCUAGUAAUCGUGGAUCAGAAUGUCACGGUGAAUACGUUCCCGGGUCUU
Molecule: ribosomal RNA, 458 nt
Filed under: uncultured Acidovorax sp.
Lineage: Bacteria; Pseudomonadati; Pseudomonadota; Betaproteobacteria; Burkholderiales; Comamonadaceae
Description: bacterial SSU rRNA
Rfam family: Bacterial small subunit ribosomal RNA
Source: RNAcentral